RNAcentral lists this unclassified non-coding RNA (347 nucleotides) under soil metagenome. RNAcentral's name for it is "partial contains 5.8S ribosomal RNA, internal transcribed spacer 2, and large subunit ribosomal RNA". The stretch from base 1 to 120 matches the Rfam family "5.8S ribosomal RNA", at positions 35 to 154 of the family's 154-position model. The record is from RNAcentral.
GAUGAAGAACGCAGCGAAAUGCGAUAAGUAAUGUGAAUUGCAGAAUUCAGUGAAUCAUCGAGUCUUUGAACGCACAUUGCGCCCCCUGGUAUUCCGGGGGGCAUGCCUGUCCGAGCGUCAUUGCCGCCCUCAAGCACGGCUUGUGUGUUGGGCCCCCGCCCCCCGGCUUCGGGGGGCGGGCCCGAAAGGCAGCGGCGGCACCGCGUCCGGUCCUCGAGCGUAUGGGGCUUCGUCACCCGCUCUUGUAGGCCCGGCCGGCGCUUGCCGACACAUCAAUCUUUUUUCCAGGUUGACCUCGGAUCAGGUAGGGAUACCCGCUGAACUUAAGCAUAUCAAUAAGCGGAGGA